RNAcentral lists this long non-coding RNA (973 nucleotides) under Jatropha curcas. RNAcentral's name for it is "long non-coding RNA (JCUR_LNC002623)". The record is from RNAcentral. Lineage: Eukaryota; Viridiplantae; Streptophyta; Magnoliopsida; Malpighiales; Euphorbiaceae.
AAAGCCUACAAAGUCUCAUCUAACAAUAUUCUCUAAUAAAAAUCAUAUUCAACUUACUUAAUAUGUUAUUGAAAUUAAUUGAAUUAAAUAAUUAAUUCAAAUUUUGGAAUUUAUAUCGAAAAUAAGGAUCCAAGUCUUAAAUUAAAUCAAUUAAAAAUCGGCUUGCGAAUUCGAGUUCAGUGCGUGGGAGGCAGUCGGUCAGUCACCGGACCUCCGCCGACGCCGCCAUCUAUGAUGGCUAAAAAGUCGAUUUCGCCGGAAAUCUCACCUCUACUAUAUCAAAAUGCUCGGAAUUCUUUGGGGAGCUUGACUAUACUAUCAAUUUGGAGAGACUCAGCCUUGGUUGGCCGAAUCGACCACCACAGCAACACCCACGCCACCAAUCAUGGUGGUUUCAUCAUGCGAGCUCGGCCACCACGAUUGACAGAGUGAAAAUAUUCAUCGAAACCAUCGGUCGCCUGCGAGACCACCGGAAACGGCGUGAACUUCGCUGGAAAAGAGUCAAGUAGUGGGCUGGAGAGAGAGCGAUUCGCACUGAAGGAAAGCAAUACUUGACUGCCGGAGGCUACUGCACCGUUUAGUGUCGCCGAAAGUUAUGGCCUUUGGCCGGAAAAGGGAAAGAAGUGGCGGGGUGGGGCUGCCCCACGAAGGAGCGAAGUAGAAAACAAGAAAAAAAAAAAAGGAAAACUUUUAUGGUUUUCUUGCUUUUGUACUCCGACUUGGUCCAACCCAGGCUUGAUCUGGUUUAAAUCGCUUUAUAUUCAAUUUUCUAUGGUUUUAGGCGGUUUAAGUCUGGUUUUCAACAAAUUCAAGCUUGAUUUAGGUGGUUUUUUAUUUAUUAAAUUGAUUUGUAAUAAUAUUUUAAUGUUUAAAUGAUAAUUGAGAAAGUUCUUGAUUCGAGAGUUUCCAUAACAUGUUUUUUUGGAUGUGGCCCAAUUUUUUGAAUUUGGGCUUGAAGGCUUGGGCCCAAUUC